UGGUUGUCGUCAGCUCGUGUCGUGAGAUGUUGGGUUAGUCCGCAACGAGCGCAACCCCUAUUGUUAGUUGCCAUCAUUCAGUUGGGCACUCUAGCGAGACUGCCGGUAAUAAACCGGAGGAAGGUGGGGAUGACGUCAAAUCAUCAUGCCCCUUAUGACUUGGGCUACACACGUGCUACAAUGGUUGGUACAACGAGUUGCGAGUCGGUGACGGCGAGCUAAUCUCUUAAAGCCAAUCUCAGUUCGGAUUGUAGGCUGCAACUCGCCUACAUGAAGUCGGAAUCGCUAGUAAUCGCGGAUCAGCACGCCGCGGUGAAUACGUUCCCGGGCCUU
RNAcentral lists this ribosomal RNA (333 nucleotides) under uncultured Streptococcus sp. Its description in RNAcentral is "bacterial SSU rRNA". It matches the Rfam family "Bacterial small subunit ribosomal RNA", at positions 1046 to 1382 of the family's 1533-position model. The record is from RNAcentral. Lineage: Bacteria; Bacillati; Bacillota; Bacilli; Lactobacillales; Streptococcaceae.